Non-coding RNA from Triticum urartu, 311 nucleotides. The record is from RefSeq and is a predicted model, not a curated record. Lineage: Eukaryota; Viridiplantae; Streptophyta; Magnoliopsida; Poales; Poaceae.
UAGUGAUGAGAAAGGGUGGAGCUGAGUAUGCCACACAUGGAUAUGAUUAUUCCCCGUAUGUUCUUUUUGGCAAUCCACUUCAUCACUGACUCAUCUGUGUAUGGGUUCCAAAGUUUGGCCACAACUAGCUUGAUUCGGAGACAUUUCGUAUUAGGAGUUAAACUUUGGUUUGGAGGCAUUGAGCUUUGCCAGUAACUAGCUUUGUUACUUGGUAUACUUCUGUCAGCAUUCAGGAGCCCCGUAGUUGUGUAGCGGGUCGCGGGAGAGGCAGCCGGUGAGUGCGAGCUGGACGAGAAAGUGAUGCCUGCGAU